Molecule: long non-coding RNA, 1151 nt
Filed under: Triticum aestivum (bread wheat)
Lineage: Eukaryota; Viridiplantae; Streptophyta; Magnoliopsida; Poales; Poaceae
Description: long non-coding RNA (TAES_LNC027992)
Source: RNAcentral
GCCAGAGCUCUCCUAGCGCAUGUACUUUCUUCCGUGGCCAGCAGCAGCGACAAAAAAUCUGGGCACUUAGGGUGAGAUAGACAAGCAUGAUUUUCCUUUUUGUAAUGAUAUUUGCACUCUAGAAGUAGUUCUUGCUUCAUGAGAUUCUGCUUAUGUUUAUUUUCAGAUUUCAGGACUGACGUAGAGGAAAUGAUUAGUAUUUUGAGCCGAUCGUGGACCUGUGGUAGUUGAUAUGCUUGAUUGUUCUGCUCUAGAUAGUUAUACGCUUUACUGCAGUUUUAAUAUCUGGUCAGUUGAGAAAAAAAUAUUAGUCUUCCUUUAUAUAGGUAUGUUGCCUUGCUGAGGCUGCUUUGCUUUUGCUAUAUUUGCUGCUCUUGGCUAUACUAUUGUUCUGUAUAUAUACAGGUCGGAGAAGAGAGCAGCAGCCUAUUACUACUGAUUUUGUUCAAGCAGCUACUUGCUUACUGUUACACAUCUACACAGGCAAGGCUGCUGAUUGCUGAUUGCAAUCCAUUCAUGAUAUGUAGAUAUGUAUGCUUCUGCUAGGUACUUGUGAACAGGGAGACAACGAAUGGACGCUUCAGUGCUAGCCGGCCGGUGGCCACGCAUUGGCAGCCACUGCUUGGAUACAUAACUCCAGCCAGCUAUGGUGAGCAGACUUUGAUCUUGGUAUGUUAGUCCGAGUGGAUAAACAUUACUAGAUGUUCAAUGUGAUGUGACUGUAUUGGUUGGACGUCGAUUGGGAUAUAAGUAGGACAUAGCCACAUAUGAUUUUUUUUCCAGUUGCCAUAUGAUGGAAAUCAGUAGCUUGAUUUUCUGUUCAACAAACGUUCAUGGUAUGUGUGUGUGCUUGAUAAAAUGCCCGUCCGAGCAAACAAUUUGUUGUGUGCUACCUAAGAUAUGCAAGUUGGAUAUGGAGGAGAAUCAUGUACAACCCUUAGGUUCUAUGGUUAAUUUGUUUAAACUAGGAGGUGGUCAUCAAGUUUGAGAUGGCAAGUGUAGGUGCUAUAUACUGUUUUCCAUGAACCAAUAAAAUGCAUUGGCUAUUUUUCUACUCAGAUUUGUUUGUUAUUUCUGAUGGAACAUGAAAAUACUUCUGAAAGGAUUAUAAUUUCUACCUGAGAUUUCAGUUGUUUUGUAGAUAGUAAAAC